This is a non-coding RNA of Elaeis guineensis (African oil palm), 1425 nucleotides long. The record is from RefSeq and is a predicted model, not a curated record. NCBI's taxonomy places the organism in Eukaryota, Viridiplantae, Streptophyta, Magnoliopsida, Arecales, Arecaceae.
AAAAAACCAAAAUCUCUGCAAUCGAUUUGUCGGAUUCCUCAACUAUCUAAUCAAGAUCCUAGCGAACCCCGAAGUUCGCCGCCGAGUGGGAGGAGAAAGCCGGGGAACUGUUUGCUAUCUACGGGCGCUACCUCCAUUGCAUGCGCUGCAUCGCCCCUUUCUUGAUCCUGAAUCCCUAUUAGGAUCUCCAACGGAGGAUUGGAUUCGUCCACCGGUUGUGUGAAUGAGGCGGUACGGAGAGGCCGAAGAAGGGGCUUUGGUGUUCUUGAUGAGCUCCAGUCAAGAGCUCAGUGCUCCUCUGAGGAGGGAAAGAAGGGGGAAGAAUGGCUGGGGAUCCGGAGCCGUCGGCGGACUAUGAGGACUCGGAGUUUGCUUUUGGUGUCGUGAUCUUUGGUCUGCCGGAUUGUGAGAUGCGGAAAGACGAUUAAGGAUUAUCGAAAGAUCCUUGACCUUUGAUCUGGUUGGCCCGUUGCUUAGGGUUAUCCAUUUUGAGGCAUCUGAAAAGCUUCUUGGUACACUUUCCCGGGAAUUAUAUAAUCGUACACUAUAUAUGAUGGAGCAUUUCUCAUUUUUUAAUGAAGAGUUGCUGGAUCACUUUUGCAUGGAGACAUCGACAACAUGCCUGAUAUCAUCACAAAAGGUUGAAUUUGAAAAGAUUGCCUAGAAAUUCUGUUACUUUUUUGACUCCAACUGGGAAAGAAGUGGAAGCACAAAAUGAUCUGCAACUCGCAAUUGUCCUUAACUGCCUCCAUUAGUGGUACUGCUGCUUCUGCUUCUACUCACACCAAUUUGUCAUGGAUGAGUUGUAUGGUGACUCAGGUGAGCAGUUCUGGUCAAGGAAGAAGAUUGCAAGUUUAGAACACUGUGCUGCAACACUCCUAAUGGGAUGCAGCAGUGGAUCUUUGAUUCUUAAAGGGUGAUAUACCCCACAAGGGCCUCAUCGAUCUUACAUAUUGGCCAGUUGCCCAGCCAUCGUUGCCUACCUCUGGUACGUCAUGUGAUGGACAUGAGUUGAUUCAGUUAAUUAUUACUUGAUGCUUGGUGAAAGGAUGACUCGCAGGGUUGCUCUAGUGAAGGGACAAAAUUUGCAUUGCUCAUGGUGAAGCCUCGAGAUUCCCAUUCUUGACUGGAGCUGCCCUGGUGUGUUUUGGUGUACGUACACAUUAUAAACUAAGGUGCUUUGAUAUCUGGAGUUUGUAUUUAUUUUGUUAUUCGACUUUGAAGUACAUGUCAUUGCUCGGUGAAGUUUGUGCAAUAUUUAUUUGAUUGUUUGUCAUAGCCAAUCAUGGGUGUUAUAAAAUGUUGAAAACUUAGUUCUAGUCAUUGCAUUUUGGUGCAGUGAUGAGAAUAUUUUGUACAUUGGUUUGAUGCAUUAUUUAUGCAUAUGCAUCAGUUUUCUAAACUUGCUGCAUGUUGUCAGCAUUA